This 626-nucleotide long non-coding RNA is filed under the name Ursus maritimus (polar bear). RNAcentral's name for it is "lncRNA (ENSUMAG00000014677.1)". Lineage: Eukaryota; Metazoa; Chordata; Mammalia; Carnivora; Ursidae. The record is from RNAcentral.
AUCAGGGUGUGUGAACGCGAGGAGCGCGACGCGAGUGUGGGUCAGACACCAAGGAAACCAUACGGAGUGCCUGCUGGGCGCCACCGACAUGCCCGCGCGAGGGAUGCAGCCGGGGCCCUGACCUCGCAGGCCGGCUGCGUAGACGGCCGCAACCGUGUAAACAGGCUCGGAUCACUCCGGCCCGCGCUAAGUGCGGGGAGGACACCAGCUCGGGAGAUGGAGUAAGGGUCAGGGAGCGAUUCUCGGAGAAGGUGUCAUCCGGGCCUGAGUGGACUAGCCAGCGGGGGCUUUUGAGGCCCAGGAAGCAGCGAGAUUUUGAGGCAGGGCCCAGCCUGGUGCGUUUGCAGGGAGAAAAGAGGCCAGCGUGGCUGGAGUGCCGUGAGGGAGGCUUGGAGGUGGGGAGAGGUUGGCCCGCGCCUCGAAGAUGGCGGGGAGUGAGUGGAUUCCGUUCCCGAGUCUGUCGGGCCCACGGGAGGCUUAGAGCAAAAUUUUGUUUGUUUGACAGAGAGAGAAAGAGAGAGCCAGACAGCACAAGCCGGGGAACAGCAGAGGGAGCGGGAGAAGCAGACUCCCCACUGAGCAGGAAGCCCAAUGCAGGGCUCCAUCCCAGGACCCUGGGACCAUGA